Otolemur garnettii (small-eared galago) is the source of this 1143-nucleotide long non-coding RNA. RefSeq lists it as uncharacterized. The transcript has 5 exons. The record is from RefSeq and is a predicted model, not a curated record. Lineage: Eukaryota; Metazoa; Chordata; Mammalia; Primates; Galagidae.
AUGAACAGAUCCAUGGGCACUGGAUAGAGAGACCUCACUGGGAACUGGCUCCCCUCCUCCCAAAAGAACAUCUACUCUUCUUUACUAGGGAACCCCAAGAGGGCUCACCUCUCUGUCUCUGUGCAGGGCUUGGAGGAUGGCCUGGCCCUUGCUUCUCCCUGAGGCCCUUCAUGUGCUGUGUGAACUUAGGCCCAGGGACACCCUCUCAGGCCCUCAGUCACCUCCUACCUGCACAGUAAGGGGCUGCAGCAGACCAGGGCGGCAGAUUCCAGCACCUCCCCAGAUGAGGCACUAGUCACUUACCAAGAAUGGCCGACAUGAGGUGCAGGGGGACAUCAUUGAGCGUGCUGAGCCCCACAGCAAGUGUGGUUCCUCCUUCUCUUCUGGUUCCAGCAGUGGUGGAGAAAUAACCUGCCCGGGUUGAAUUCUGACUUCACCGCUGGUUAAGCUGCGUAUUCUGCUUUGAUGUCCUCAUCAGUAAACUGCAUGGAUCCCAUGAAGGAACAACGCCAAAACCCAAGAGGACAGCUGUUGCAGCAUCCAGUUCAUCUUACGAAUUUCAACAAGUAGUCAUGCAAUAAAUGUUUUGGUUUUCAAAAAUCUAAAAAAAGAAAAAAAAGAAUUUCUCAGAUGGACAAGAAACAGGUAUCUAUUGCCUGAUGAUCAAGUUUCAAGAGAUACAAGGGAGACACCCAAGAAAAAACCCACAAAAUCUGUUUAAAUGAUCUCAUACAUGCUGACAAUAAAUCUAGGAGAUUGUGAGUUUAUAUCUAUUUCAUUAUUACUGGUAAAAAUAGCUUAAAAGCCCCAAAGAAUAUUUAUAUAAUUAAUGUUCAUGAUGGUCCUGUCUGGGAUGUAUGAAGUUUGGAGAGGCCAAAUGCCCCAGACAUAUUCAGCUAACCAGGCUACAUCCGGAAUUCAAAGCCAGGCCACUGGGAUGUCAAAACCCCUGACCUUUCCCUUUCGAAGUGCUAUCUGCAAAAGCAGGAAACUGUGAUGCCACACAAAGACUGUCAGUAUUUUCCCAUUUCACCUUGAGAACACCUUGGGCUCCCCAGGAAAUUUGCCAUGUACAGUUGCCCUUGGCUGCCCCAGCCCAGGGCUGUGGAGGCUCUAAACACACUCCUGGGGAAGUUUCAUCCU